RNAcentral lists this long non-coding RNA (3049 nucleotides) under Xyrichtys novacula (pearly razorfish). Lineage: Eukaryota; Metazoa; Chordata; Actinopteri; Labriformes; Labridae. The record is from RNAcentral.
AUCACAUCCUACAUGUCACUGAGUUUCCAGUGAACUCUGAGAAGAUUCCACUGCCAAGUUUGCAGGUAUGUAAAAUCAGAGAAAGUGUAUAAUUUGAUGUUGUCAGUAUUGGAACGCUCCUGCACUGACAGUGGGUCAGUCCUUAAUACACACACACACUUACAGUGAAUGCACACUAAAGUCAAUGAGUCUGUGAGAGUGGAAUUUGGGAUUUUGCCACUGCUCUGCUUUCUUACCCUCAUCUCCCAGGGUGAUCCCAUCAUGAUGUUUCUCAGGAAGCAAAGGAUUGGACACACUAAAUUGAGGAGUCUACAUCUAAUCCUUUGACUGUGAUGGACAUCAUCCUGCCUCAACAGCAUGAUUUCAAUUUUGAGAAAUUUUCAUCCUCAUUUAUUUACACUACACAAGACAUGGAUCACAUGCUACGAUGCACAAACACACAAUAUUAUUAUUGGAGUGCACAAUAAUUAUGGCCGGAGCACAAGGCCAAGGCCGGACUCCCAAGAAAGAGGACAUGUCUGGGUUAAAGAGGACGUAUGGUCACCCUAGCAUACGAAGAUUGCAUAGCUCACCUGGGGGAUAUGCUGUUUGAGCGAAGCGUCAUCACAGCGACUCUUGGCGACUCUCCUGCCGAAUGUGUACAACGCUACUGCGCAAGUGGUGGUUCCAGGAAGUAGAGAAAAUCCCAGAAAUACCGAGAGCAAUUCGGCUUCAAAUUCGUAUAAUGAUGGGAGGCGGAACCAAGUUAUCCAUAGUAUAUACAGUCUAUGUUUACGUCUAAUAACGGCUGACCUUCUUCUGGGGCCUGCCUCGUGUGGCCAUUCAAGGAACUCUUGUUUGGCAUUUCCUUUUUUCCACAUGUCACUUUAAAAGUUUGAUCCUACCAAGUCUAACUGGGUCAAACAUGCUCCUUUAGCAUGAUGUAUUUUCAUCAAGGGAGCUGUGUAGUUGAAGUAAUGUACAAGAGGACUGCUCAUGUAAAUCAGAAUCAACUGUCUCAGCGAGAAUUAAAUGGGACAACUGUAUAUUAUCCCAAACUGGACAGAAAGUUCCUGUAGCAUGAGAAAAGGCAGAGAAUAGAGGGAACCCUUCCAGUUGUCUGUUUUCUGUAUUAACAUAUCCCUAUCACUACUGUCAGUUCUCUGUCACCGCUGGAGACCAGAACCAUGACAUCAUUCCCAAAUGUUUUGAAUGUCCAUAACGUUCUCAAUGACAGAACCGCCAGAGGGAUUGGUUCCACUACAGGCUGCGGUCCAAAUGUUCUCAAUAUUAGCUCCGCUCUGAAGUACAUCCCACUUCUGACAAUCAUGAGGACAUUCUCAAGAUGAUGUUAUAGAUUAGCAAUCAAUAACAGACAUCAUUUUUCAACUUUCACUUAAAGAGACAAGCCCGAUUGAGAAAUUGCUUAGACAGGCGUGUUUUUCCUCGAGGGUCUGUGAUGGUUUAAGUCUCUAUUGUUUGACCACGAGCAUAUGCUUCUGCUUAAGGGAGUUUCUUGACAUGGGAUACAUUUUUAAUCAUUUGUUAUGAAGAACAAAGAGGAGAUUUAAAAUAACCACACAGUCGUCCGAUGUAAGCAUACUGUAAGAUAAUCUAUUUUAUCUUCAGCACAACGAGGAUUUAAUACCAUGCAGAAAUUCUAGCUUUCAUAAGCCACCACAAGAGGAAAAAAAAGCGAGAAAGACUAGAAAGUGUCUGGUGAACUGUUCGUCCAUUUGUGCGUAUGUGAAUGGGUAUGAAAAAACCUGAAUGUAUGCACAGUCAAAUAGGAUUUUAAUGAAUUAUCAACAUUUAAACAUCUUUUUCCAUCUCUUUUCAGACUUCCAUUAAAAAGCAAUCAAAAGAUGCUUCUCCUUCCUCUUCCUCUGACAGCAAAUCUCAACAUCUGACAGUCCUGCUGACUGUGUUCUUCCUCUGUCUCGUCCCCAGACUGCUGCUCCAGCUCCACCCGCCUCAUGCUAAAAGCCGUCCAGCUGAGAUAAUUGGCCCCCCUGUCCACCUUUUCCUGCCAUUCAUGCUGCCUGAAAGCCUUUCCCUCACAGGGGAAACGAAGACGGCGGCUCUCUGUGCUCGUCCUCUCUGUUUGGCCUCUCAUCCUCGUAGACUAACUGCACAUUAAUUUUCAUUCGGUGGACUGUUAGGACUCAGUAAUGAUGACAUCUGUCACUGGGAGCUGGGGGUGUCUUUGGGGUCUUGUGACAGAAAAAAGGGAAGAAGAAUAGAAAAUGAGUCCAGGAAAAAAAAAAGCUGAAAAAAGGCGAAGAUUCCUCUCUGACAUUUGGGGAAAAUGGAAAUGCCACUUAAUACUUCACACUGUGACAUUAUUGUCUAAAUAAAUCCUAAAGCUUACUAUAGUGUGGGAUCUGGAUCUUAUGCCAUUAGAUGAUCCAAAGACUACAAUUCAAAUCUACAAUUUAUUCUUCUGAAUGAUCAAAAAUGAAUGUUACUUAAUGUCCAGGGCAUAAAAAGUCAUCAUCAAUAAAGCUGCAUGUGAAUCUUGGUAACAAAUACUCAAUUUAUAUGCAAAUGGGCAGAUCUUGUAUCAGCCACUGUGAUAAUGUAAUGUUAUACGAGAAACUAACCCACAUGAAAUAUAAGUAUUAAUUCAGACACACAUGGAGAUAAAAGCCACGAUGAAAAAUAGGUCUAAUAUGAGCGCAAUUAUUUUCAUCAGUCAGUAUUUCUCAUGUUAAAGAGUGCUGCAAAAUCUGUAUAUGUCUUGCAUGAGUGGUAAAUUUUAACAUGAAACAUUUUUUUAGUGUCUUAUAUACGUAUAUAACAUAAUAUCCUAAACUUUUACUGUUUACAAAAUUUUAGGUGGAUUAUAAAAAGGAAAAAUAUAAAUAUUUCAUUGGUCAGCUGGAGAGGAGAGGAGUUAGACAAACAAUCCAGACCUGCACAUAAAGCUGCAAAAACUGCAUUCAUUGUCCUUGUUUGUAGUCCCAGAUCUUCACCAGACAAAUGAUAAAACACUACUGUUUGCUUGACAGAGGUCUGGGACUACAACUUUGCUAAUUAAUAUGUUUUUUCACCGGUUGUUGUGCCUGAG